CACGUAGUUAGCCGGUGCUUCUUUACCCAUUACCGUCACUCACGCUUCGUCACAGGCGAAAGCGGUUUACAACCCGAAGGCCGUCAUCCCGCACGCGGCGUUGCUGCAUCAGGCUUCCGCCCAUUGUGCAAUAUUCCCCACUGCUGCCUCCCGUAGGAGUCUGGGCCAUAUCUCAGUCCCAAUGUGGCCGGUCACCCUCUCAGGCCGGCUACCCGUCAAAGCCUUGGUAAGCCACUACCCCACCAACAAGCUGAUAAGCCGCGAGUCCAUCCCCAACCGCCGAAACUUUCCAACCCCCACCAUGCAGCAGGAGCUCCUAUCCGGUAUUAGCCCCAGUUUCCUGAAGUUAUCCCAAAGUCAAGGGCAGGUUACCCACGUGUUACUCACCCGUUGCCACUCGAGCACCCACAAAAGCAGGGCCUUUCCGUCGACUUGCAUGUGUUAAGCACGCCGCCAGCGUUCUCCUGUAGCCAGGAGUCAAACUCU
RNAcentral lists this ribosomal RNA (486 nucleotides) under uncultured Propionibacterium sp. RNAcentral describes it as "partial 16S ribosomal RNA". Lineage: Bacteria; Bacillati; Actinomycetota; Actinomycetes; Propionibacteriales; Propionibacteriaceae. The record is from RNAcentral.